RNAcentral lists this transfer RNA (67 nucleotides) under Salpa thompsoni. RNAcentral describes it as "tRNA-Gln". Lineage: Eukaryota; Metazoa; Chordata; Thaliacea; Salpida; Salpidae. The record is from RNAcentral.
AUACUACUAGUUUAAUUAGAACACUAUCUUUUGAUGAUAGAAGAAAGAAAAUUUUUCUUGUAGUAUU